This is a long non-coding RNA of Struthio camelus australis, 2018 nucleotides long. The record is from Ensembl. NCBI's taxonomy places the organism in Eukaryota, Metazoa, Chordata, Aves, Struthioniformes, Struthionidae.
AUGUUUGGGCACCUAAUUCUUCCUUUUUAUUGUGUAUGGUCCAGCGCGGGAUUCCCCAGCUGGCAGCUGGCUCCAUUUGUGAAUCAAACCCUAAACAUGCACCCGUUGCAUCAAAUGCAAUUCCUGCUUUUUUUUUCAUUUUCACACACAAAGCAAAUAUCUGCAGUACCUGGACACAGGCUGAAGCACAAGAAAUGCAGAAGGAAACUGAAGGAACAGAGUGGGAAAAGGAAAGCACGCUGCACUAGAUUGCACUUUCUUUGCAGGGAAAAGCUGAACGUCAUGGCAACGUGCAGCAGCCUCUUCUGGCCAAGCCUCUCCAGCGGAGGGGCCAGGAGGGAGCGUGGGAUUCAUCUCAUCGCCAUCCACUGAUUUGAGGCCAGCGAAUGUACUGCCAGUAAACUGGUGCAAAUCAUCAGCAAUGUGGUCAUAUCCCUGGCUUUUUAAUGGGCUAAAAACAUCAUAAAAUAUAGAUAUCAUUUUCUAUUUUAAUGAUUAAAAAGGGUGUUGCCCGUUAUUCACAGCCUACGCACAAGAUGUCAUGAUUUUCAGUAUUCCUGUGCUGAUCACUCAAUCCAUUUGACACCUAACCUUCCGCUGCCUUGCUAAUUCUGUCACAAGACCUGCCUUGAUGAUUACCCAAACAUGCCUUGUUAUCUCUUGAUAGUUUUGAGGAAAAAAAACCAAAAAACAAAAAACCCACCCCCAGAUUAAUAUAUCAGAAAAGCAAUGCAAUACUAAAUGAAUGAAACAGUAAUAAUCACACAUGCAAAAGCUCUGCGCAAAGCUUUCCCUGUCCAUAUCAGCCAGCUGCUCUCCUGGCAUUAAGAGGAGUUCUAGUUCAUGAGACCAUAAGCUUUAUGUUUAGAGUGCUGGACAUUGCUCUGUGAACAGCUGCAGCAGCAAAAAUGGCAUUUUCUGAGAAAGAAGAGUUUCCACUGUGGUUUCUUCAUUGUUGGGAAAUUUCUCCUCACCAACAGAUUGAAAUCAGAGGAAGACGGCAAAUCUUACACAAGCACAUGCUUAUUAAGAGAAACCUGUAACAGGUAAAUAUGGAUGCUAGCCAGGGAACAUUACAACAUCUGAGAAGAAUUUCAGCUGAUCCUUGAUCAGAAAAAACAACAGUUCUCUGGCCAGAAACAGCCCUGGCAGUUCCAGGUAUCCAAUUAUCAAUCUCCGUUUCCAAACAAGUGAAACUGGAAACCUGCCCAUUUAUUAACUUCCCCCUCAACAAGCCAUUCACUCGCUCUUAGAAGAACUUCAGAAAAACCUCUCUCAUGUGGACCUCAUGAGGAAUGAAGUCUUAUAAAAGCCUCAUGCACUGGAAGUCUUUCACCCCUCAGAGCUCAAAUUUGAACAAUAUUCUAACUGCAAAAGUGACAUAUCUGGCUAAUGUAGAGAAGGAGGUGAAAGCUCUCUUAAAACAGUAGUAAUUCCCUUUAGGUUGUGGUUUGAUGAAUCCCAGUAGUCUGCUGAAAUCUGGAAAAAUACAUAGUGGGAUAUGAAAACGCCUGCCUGCAAGGAUGGUACCUAAAGGCUUCAGGGCUGCCCUUCCAACCUGGCCUUUCUGCAGGCACCACUCAUUUUUCCAGGGGGAAAAGCAAAUGAACUUUCUCCUUCACCUUACUCAGCAGCUGAUUUGACUUAACAUAAUUCUAAAGACAUGAAUGACACAGAAAUUACGUGAUUAAGUAGAAAGAGCUGAUAGGUUCUAGGAAGCAAGCGCUGCUCUCAGAUGCGCUUGUCUGAAUCUGGAAUAACUUUGAUGAAUUCCAGAUAACAAAUACACUAAUUAAAUAGACAUAAUUAUUUUUAAAUGUCUGCUGGAAGUCAAAAAGAGCUGUGUGAAUUUCCUAGCACAACUUCAGUUGCAUUUGCUGAGUCAAGAGGUGAAAUGAAGAAAUACCAAUUCCUGUAAAUCAUUGAUUAGAAAGUAUAUAUUUUUUUCUUUCAGAGGAUGCUUCCUAGCAAAACAUUACACUGAAAUAAAUUUCAGAUUUGAAAUCUAUUUAAAUUCA